AGGGAAUCUUCCACAAUGGACGAAAGUCUGAUGGAGCAACGCCGCGUGAGUGAAGAAGGUUUUUGGAUCGUAAAGCUCUGUUGUUGGUGAAGAAGGAUAGAGGCAGUAACUGGUCUUUAUUUGACGGUAAUCAACCAGAAAGUCACGGCUAACUACGUGCCAGCAGCCGCGGUAAUACGUAGGUGGCAAGCGUUGUCCGGAUUUAUUGGGCGUAAAGCGAGCGCAGGCGGAAUGAUAAGUCUGAUGUGAAAGCCCACGGCUCAACCGUGGAACUGCAUCGGAAACUGUCAUUCUUGAGUGCAGAAGAGGAGAGUGGAACUCCAUGUGUAGCGGUGGAAUGCGUAGAUAUAUGGAAGAACACCAGUGGCGAAGGCGGCUCUCUGGUCUGCAACUGACGCUGAGGCUCGAAAGCAUGGGUAGCGAACAGGAUUAGAUACCCUGGUAGUCCAUGCCGUAAACGAUGAGCGCUAGGUGUUGGGGACUUUCCGGUCCUCAGUGCCGCAGCAAACGCAUUAAGCGCUCCGCCUGGGGAGUACGACCGCAAGGUUGAAAC
This 553-nucleotide ribosomal RNA is filed under the name uncultured bacterium. RNAcentral's name for it is "partial 16S ribosomal RNA". It matches the Rfam family "Bacterial small subunit ribosomal RNA", at positions 356 to 900 of the family's 1533-position model. The record is from RNAcentral.